Molecule: long non-coding RNA, 4847 nt
Organism: Aquila chrysaetos chrysaetos
Lineage: Eukaryota; Metazoa; Chordata; Aves; Accipitriformes; Accipitridae
Exons: 3
Source: RefSeq, a predicted model, not a curated record
UGCCGAUCGGGUAUGAAAUGAGAACUGCCCAGCAGGAGCGUACAAAGAACGCUGUGCGGCUGUGGCUGUGCUGGCUGCUGACUGCGACCGACUGCUUAAAGUCUGUAGGACAAGCUCCUGAGUCUCUGACCUCCAUCAAAGCAGAAACCUAAUAGAGCUGGACAAACACCUCAGCUGACAGUUACGCAUAAGCUGUUCAGUAAACUUGUUCUCUUGCUGGUUUUUGUAUUUGCCUCUUGUAAAGGUUUGAGACACAGACUCAACACUACCUGGGUAUGCUGUGUUUAAGAUGAAUAUGUGUUUAACUACCUUACUGAACAAGAUCUAUGUUACUGACAAAUAUUUGCAAAAUAGUAAAUAUUAGUGAAUACUCCGGUGAACUGACAUCUUAAUGUAUACAUGUUUGAAUCCUAAAGCUGUUUAAUCAUUUAGGGGAGAAAGGUGUCCAGAAUGAUUUGCUCAUUAAAGAUUUGGAGACUUUGAAGCUCCAGAUUCCUCCUGUACUGCAAAACCAGAGCAUUUCUCUGACAGAAGGCAGGAACAAGGCAGUACAGAACAUAGUUGAUCUGGAAGAGAAACAGCAGGAAAAACGUCAGAGCUACCAAAAAAUAAUUUGCCACCAGACAGCUCUUAAAGCAAGUAUAAAUUGGGGUGAGAUGCUGACCUUAUUGAAGUUAUCGGGAGUGUUUCUGUUGGCAUUGUUAUCAUGGUUUUGCCUGAUAAAAUGAGGAUGAGUGCAUGGAGGUGGGUGGCAUUCAGCUGAUAUUCCCUAUUUUUCGCAGGUUGCCCUAAGGCCUGGGAGGCCUUGUCGGGAGAACCAAGGAACAGUAGUGAACUCAGAAGUGUGUGAAUUCUUAAAGUGCAUCACUCAGGCAAGGUGCUGGAGCUUGGGCUGUGACACACACGUGGACCAUGCUUCGUAUCCAAAAGGAACAAAUGGAACUUGUAGUGUUCACUGUUCUGAUUGUAUUGGCCAGCGCUUUCCUAACAGAUGCUAGGAACCAACCAAUUUCCAGAAGGUGCACCAGUCCCACAGGCAAGCCCUCCCAGUAACAAAACAAUUACUCCCUCUGCCAUCUCUUCUGGCUGUUUCAUCAGCUACCAGCAUUGCUUCUGUUUGUUUGUUUUUUUUUAAAACUGACUCUCAGGCAAAAAAGGUGAGAAUCCACACCCCUGCUUUCCUCCACACACAGUUACUUGAUUUGUUCCAACACUCUCUUCCACUGUUGGAACUGAGAAAGGGGAUAUUAGUAGUCACUUCAUUGGGGUAAUAUGAAUGUUCAUGAGUUAUUUUCCAGGUAGUAUGUAGGGCAGUUGCCAUAUAAACAGCUCUGAAUUUGACAGUAUCUGCUUCACAACUGCUGUUGCUAUGUCCAGUUUUGAAGGAAGAGUAAAUGUUUCAUCGACAACUGAGAAUUAGAUGUUGUUCAUUCACACGCACACACAAACGUACUGGUUAACCAUCCAGUGCAUAGUGUUGCUGGGUCCCUGCCAGGCGAUAGUUUGAAGGUGUUUGAAUAUUUUGAACUGAGGUUUAUUCUUCUUCCGAUUCAUUCUUAAUCAGCCAAAUGAUUCAGAAUGUCUACUCUACCUGUUAAACGUACUUAAGCAUCAGUCGUUUCAUCUUCUUGAAUCUCAUUAUUUGGGGGUUUAUAAUUAGUGUAACUCUUAACACUUCUGCAUAGAUUUUUAAGAAGGCAUUGGACAAGGGCAAUUACCUAGGCAAUGUAGUAGAGCAAAUACAUCUUUUUAACUUCUCUUUCUCAAAGCAAGCCAGAAAGAAAAGUCUUUGUCAUUCCAGUUUUCCAGCCCAGCACAAUCAUGUUUUGUCCUUGUAUCUCAACUGAAUUAACAGCAUUAUAUCCCUGUGUCCCAGAUACUUUUGCCUGGAAUUGUAGUUGGACAUGCUUUAAGUUGCUUUGUUUGGUUUAUUGGGAGUUCAAGCAAACACAUCACGUAGUCACAUUAAUGUAGGAAUUUUAUGGGCUUAUGUCAUUUCCCUGGUUGGUGUAUGUCUGGCAUGCACCGUGAAGUUAGCAGUGAGUGUUUGUAUUGGAAAAGAGUAAAAUAAAUGCUGUGUUUGACCUGGCUGCUUGCAGAGUAUCAAUGGGAAUCGUUAUGGAUGUGUGAAGUGCAUACAUGAGCUCAGCUGAGCUGCCACUCCCAGAGGGGUGAGACUUCUGUUGCUCUAAAAGCACUGAUACUGCUCAGCCAAAGUCAGACCAGGACAUGUUCAGAUUUUCCUCAUGCUUUUUAAUCAACUGAAUUUGGAAGGGGAGCUAAUUAAAGAUGUACAAAGCUUCAUGCCUAUCUUUAUUACAAAUGCAACUGUGACACAAUUUUUCAGGUGAAACCUACACUGGAAGGGAAGGAAACAUGCAUUUCAAAUUAAGUAGCUCUGCACUCAAGCUGAAAAGCAGGUGAGAUCUUGACUAGGCAAAUUAACCUACCUACCCAUCUAUUGUGUGCUGAGAAAUUAUUUUUAGCAUGCCUGUGAUGCUUUUGAUAAUUACUUUCCUAUGUAAUCAAAGGUUGUAUUUAACAAAACAGAGAUGAAACAGGGAGUUCAGCAUGAAAGGAGAUGUCUGAGUAAUCAUCUUUAUCUUGCUCAUAUUACUAACCUGGGAAAGCACUGCUACAGAACCUAUAGUUACCUUCUGAAAGCAAAGCAGAAAUAAUUACCUGUAUUGAGUGCCUGUUAAUAUCCAGUGUAAUACAUUUUAAGAUUGCUCAUGAAGGAUCUGGUCCCAACAGGUGCUUAGUAGGCUGCAGAAUCAUAAAAAAGUGUACACAUGGCUACCUUUCACAGGUGGCUGCUUCUUUUCCAGACAGACAUCAUCUAAUAUUAAAAUAUUGUGGAAUUUCAUGAGUUGUCAGUUGCUUUGUGGCCCGUGCCUGUUUGGCAGUUCAGCCUGGAUUGCCCCCAGAACCUGAAGGGUAAGAUUUGCAAGAGGAGAAUUGUUAGAAUAUCUAACAAUGUGGAAGCCAGUUUCUGUGUUAAGUUAGCACUGGGCUGAAAGCUAUCAUAGCAACCAAGUGCCGUUUGGAGCAUCUUCUCACAUUUGGUUGCUUGCAAAAGAAAAGAUCAGCUUGGGGGGAAAAAACUAAAACACCAAACCAGGAUAAAACCCAGUAAUUCACAGAAAACUAUCAAAUUAAUGGAGCUCCAUUUAAAAGUCAGCAUGAAUUUUAUAUCAUUCCAUAUGCCUUGUCGAUUUAACCUUUUUUUUUUUUCAUUAACAGCUUUCAAAUAAACUACUGAAAAAAUACUUUGACUGGAGGGGUUUGGAAUUAAAUUAUAAAUUUAAUGUGUAGUUUGUCAGCAAUUGGGAAUAGAAUUUUUCCAGACCCAUUUUGCUGAGGACAUUUUCUCUAUUGUUGGUCUCUUUCUGAUCAUCUGUACUGCCUGAGAAAGGAAAAAUCUCUUUUUUUAUUGGCUUCACUGAAGAAGUUGAAUGACAGGGUUUUUUCCAUGACUGACUGCUGAGUAAAAAAAGGAAGUUAUGGCUAGAUUAUGAUUAUUUUCUCCUGCUGUGAUGAGAUGAGUAGAAGAAGUUGAAGUCAGCACCUGGUUGUGGAUAGCCAUCGAUAAAGAUGAUAUAUAAUAAAACCAAAAUCUGUUAUUUCAUUCGCAAGUUGAGCAGCAUCUCAGUUUUCUGUGCUCACUUCGUCAUUAAGAAACUUCUCUUCAAAGAAUCAUCAUUAAAUUAUGUUUCUUUGCUUCUGAGGAUGAUAUGUACUUCCUAACUUAGCACUUAAACAGUAGGAAAGAAAUAAUUAAUUCUGAGCUCUUCAGUUCUCUCCAUUGACUUGCAAGAGGAAAAAAAAUAAUGGAACAAUUCCUUUCAGGUCUGAAAAGAAGGUAAGAUGUAUACUUAUUCAGGUCUGAAAAGAGGGUAAGAUGUAUACUUAUACUCACUACCUGUCCCUCCACCAUGAACAGCUAUUGCAUUUUUCAAAAGCUUGCCACAAACUGGUGAAGUUGUAAUUUUAGUUGAGUUAAAAUAUUCCUCACAUCUUCAUCUUUUUUGUGGACUUAGCUUGCUAUAUGGGAAUGAUCCAGGAGUCGAUUUCUCUUGAAAAGUAAACGUAGCUAUUUAAACUGUAUUUUGAAACAUCUGAAGUGAAAAGUUUUGGAAGGCAUUGGAGUCCAGUAAAUUCCCUCCCUUGUGUUUAAAAUUUAGUAUUUUUCAUAGGAGGUAUUUUUUAGAACUAUUAAACAGUUGCACCUAUGUUACAAGGCUUUACAAGCCAAGCUUCAGCUUCAGAUGAAAUUUUAUAAUUGGAAUCUAAUUUUCUAAAAAUAAACAUAAUUUAAGCAUGACACCUCACUGUGAAGCACUGAACAUAGCUACCUGUACUGGUCCAACCUCUUGAAACCAUAUGGCUAAAAUGUUGUAGGAUGGUAGAGAAAGCGUAAUUAAUAGUUAAACAUUCUAUUUUUAAUGUUAAUGUAAAAUACAGUCAUCCACAAGCUAUUCAAAAUAUGUACUGUUACCUUAUUUUAAUUUUAAGUUAAUGUUUAUUAUCAGAAUGAUUCUCGUUACCAGAGGAAGAUGGAAGUGAGCGGAUUCUGUUAGUCUGUGAAGAAUCUACCAGGAAGAUUUCACUAGAGGCAUCAGCUUCACUCCUGGGAGAUCUCUGAACCCACAAAAUGUCCUCUGUGGAAGAACACAGAAGGAGCUGAACCAUUCUCCACAUGCAGCCAGGACGCAGAGGUGGUCUUAUCUCAUAAAGGAAUAGAUUUAGCUGCAGGUGAGGUGCCCUGGGCAUUAUGUCCUGUAAUGAGGUAGCAAACACAACAUUUUCAUCUGCUACUCUCUCCUUUCUAAAUGAAUUUACAGGCA